CCGCAAUUGGGCCUUAUGUAUAAUAACAACUAUAGGGGUAACCAACUUUUGAUCACCAGUUACGCUCAUGUCACGAAGGGGCAUAACUCAGGAGACGGGAAAGAGUAUGGGGGAUGCUCCGAGAAAACAGGGACACACAAGGCUUUAAUAUGUAUCGGUACCUAAAGAGAGUACGAGAGGGGCGGGUGGACGCGAAGUUGAAUUAGAACUAGUAACUAGACACGACUGGCAAGCAGGUCACAGCAGAUAACCU
Pelobates cultripes (western spadefoot toad) is the source of this 253-nucleotide non-coding RNA. The record is from the annotation of a GenBank genome assembly. Lineage: Eukaryota; Metazoa; Chordata; Amphibia; Anura; Pelobatidae.